Paramuricea clavata is the source of this 856-nucleotide non-coding RNA. The record is from the annotation of a GenBank genome assembly. Lineage: Eukaryota; Metazoa; Cnidaria; Anthozoa; Malacalcyonacea; Plexauridae.
GAAGGGGAGCGCGAGUGUUGUGUCAGCAUCGCGUUCAAUUAUCUCACCGAAGAGUUAGUUUUUGUUUCGCGUGUUGGAAAUUGGUACUUCUUGUCAACAUAUGAACCAGAGACAGGCAAACGUCGUCACAAUGUAAGAUUGACGCUGUUUGGUAAGGAGUUGCAGAUUCUUCAUCUGACAGCGCAUUGUAGUGGACCCAUGGUCUUAGUCUCUAGUGAAUACGCACUUUACCUUCAGUGAUAGUGACUAGCAUUAAACGGUUUAAGCUCUAACAGUUUAAUUAAGCUAUUCAAUAUCUGGGUCGUACUCUUUCGUCAAUAAGUACAUAUAUAGAUCAGUGGACUGAGGAGCUUUGAUCGUUCCCAUCAUGCACCACCAUUUUUUCAACCCUUAUUUUAGGGACUGGGUACUAGUCAGAUUCAUUAUAACCUUAACAAAACAAAUUUGUGCACAUUUGAUAUUUUUAAAGGUAACAUCACCACAGGGUGCUCUAUGGUCAGGGCUCUUAUUUUAAAGAUUUUCCCUUUGCGAAUUUCACAUAAUUUUCCAAGCUGUUGCCAAGUUAGUUUAUACACAGAAAGCUGAGUGGAUGAAGUAGAUUAAAUAAUUUCAUUGAAAACCAAAGAAUUUCAUAGCUCUUGCCAAGGGAUUAUCAUAUUUAGUUGAGAGCCCUGUGUUAACGUGCCUAUAUAGUCAAUAGUCGAAUAUACAGUAUAGUUUUUACAUUGCUUUUCUUCAAAAUAUGUCACUAGGAUGGGACUUUUAACACUGAAUGAUUGAUGUAUUUAAUACUAAAACAUUUAUAGUUAAUAGCUAUGUAGACUUUUUUACUAAGUUAAUUGUACUUUUAAUGAUA